Molecule: long non-coding RNA, 65 nt
Organism: Amblyraja radiata (thorny skate)
Lineage: Eukaryota; Metazoa; Chordata; Chondrichthyes; Rajiformes; Rajidae
Exons: 3
Source: RefSeq, a predicted model, not a curated record
AGAACUGUACAGCCCAAGAACAGGCCAUUCGCUCCACCAUGUCUGUGCUGAACAUGAUGCCAAGA